Molecule: ribosomal RNA, 253 nt
Filed under: uncultured bacterium
Lineage: Bacteria
Also listed under: 1 other name
Description: partial 16S ribosomal RNA
Rfam family: Bacterial small subunit ribosomal RNA
Source: RNAcentral
UACGUAGGGUGCGAGCGUUGUCCGGAAUUAUUGGGCGUAAAGGGCUCGUAGGCGGUCUGUUGCGUCGGGAGUGAAAACUCAGGGCUUAACCCUGAGCCUGCUUCCGAUACGGGCAGACUAGAGGUAUGCAGGGGAGAACGGAAUUCCUGGUGUAGCGGUGAAAUGCGCAGAUAUCAGGAGGAACACCGGUGGCGAAGGCGGUUCUCUGGGCAUUACCUGACGCUGAGGAGCGAAAGUGUGGGGAGCGAACAGG